Homo sapiens (human) is the source of this 1444-nucleotide long non-coding RNA. The record is from Ensembl. Lineage: Eukaryota; Metazoa; Chordata; Mammalia; Primates; Hominidae.
AGAACAGUGGGAUGUAUCAUUGUCUGCUUAUCUGAAGAUAUGCCUGCUGUCAGCUCAGCAUCAUUACCGGGGCCCAAGACAUUUCCAUAGGCCUUUGAAAAGCUUUCAAGCUGGAGGUCUCCUGCCUUUCGACAGAGGAGCCCUGGUGGCAGCAAGCCUUUCCACCUAGGCCAACACCCAUCCCUUGCCUCAACCACAGGACCACUGAGGCUGACCUGGUGAGGUGGACCCCUUGAGAAGACUGCUGUUGGUGAGGUCCACAUUAGGGUAGAUUUAGCUCCCACAAGAGAAGUUUGUGUCACCAGAUCUCCACGAUGAUUCCAUGAAAGUCUGAGAAUGCUCCAAAUCAUAAUAAAAUCCAUCCAUUACUUCAGACAGAUGAAAACAGUUCCUUCUAAAAAGAGGCUAAUGUUUUUAAAAGACAGUAAGAGAAGAAUGUCAGCUCCCCAUGGCUGCAGUAGAAAGUGCUGGAUGAGAGGAGCAUCUCCAGAGCAUGGAAGACAAAGCAGCUUUAUCCUCAACUUUUCCACCUCAAUUUCCAUUUUCCUCCAAGGCAAAACUCCCACUCCUGGCAGAUUAAAUGAAAUGAAGACACUGAGCUCUGCAAGUACACUGCUUUUUGAAUCCCAGAGGGGAUGAUGUAGCAAGAAGGACCUCACCAGAUGCUGGCACCUUGAUGUUAGACUUCCCAGUCUCCACAAUGUGAACUUGCUUGUCAAAUGCCUCUUUAAAAAGAAAGUGAAGAUAACUGCAAGUCAGCUGGAAGUGCUGCCAAGAUAUGACCUCCAGGAAGGCCCAGAAGACAAGUGAUAUUGUGUGGACUGCUACAGCGCAAUGUCUAACUGAUGCAAAAUGAAGAAUCAAUUUGAAAUUAAGAUGAGUAAAGGCAUCCAGCACUUACAGCAAAAAACAUUGUCAUCAGGCCCUGGGGAGAUGAGGACACCUCCCUUCCCUUCUCAGGCUCCCUUUCCCUGUCAGACUCUAGCUCUCAAAGGCUGUCAUCCUCCAAGGGUAUUCCCUACGUACUGCAUAGCAUCUCUGUUACCCUUUGAAUUCAACAGUAUUCAUCUCCUCCAACAUUCAUUCAUUCCUUUAGUCAAAAGUCAGUUGUCAAACACAAGGCACAAGUGCACAUUUAAGGAAUUCAUGGCCAAUAUUUGUCAUGUCAUUUCAUGAAUUGUCUGAGAAACAUAAAACAUACAAUGAGGAUACUGAUCCAAGAUACAUGGCACACAAUUAAAUUGCGAAAAACAUGACUCUGAGUCCAAAAGUUCUUAUUUUUUCACAGUCUUCAGAGUAUUGUAUAGACCCCUUGAAAAAUAAAUUUGCAGAGUGUGAAUGUUAAUUACUGUCACCUUCAGAAAAGAGAUUUUACACAUGUAUAAAAGAGAAAUAGUGACUAUUCUAGAUUAUAGAGCACAGAAAGAAUUCUCAAACUAGUAUA